GGUGCUAUAAACUGUUUAUUACCUAUUGUUCUAUAUCCAGGUCCACUCUUUUGGAGAUGAGUCAAAACCUACCAGAACUUGCCGUGUCUGUGUUCUUGGUGGAGAAAGGUCGCUCAUUGCAAAUCUUUCUGCUGCAAGCUGCUACAAGGUUGAACACUUUCAUAAGCAUGAGUACUGGGCUCUAGUUGGGAAUGCUAAGUUCUACUACAUUGAUGGAUUCUUCGUCACAGUAUAUCUCCAUAAUCCAUUCAGUUGGUAUGUGAACAUGCAGCUGCUAACAACAAGCUAAGAAGACAUGAUCCUUUAUGACAACCAGACAUGUCAUACAUAUUUUGUAAUGUCUUCUCUUUGAUCAGAUUUCAACACAUUUCUCUACUGUUUCUCCCUAGCCGUAGCAAGAAUCAAGGUUUACUGACAUCUGAAAUAUCUAUCUACUCUCAGUUGGUACAUGAUUUUUUCUAUUAAGAAUUUUUUUAUUAAGAAUCUUAGUUAUUGGAUAAGUUGAGGUUUGUUUAGUUUUAGCAACCAGAUGGAAUCUUAUAGAAUCGUCAGUUUGGUAGAUAACAUCCAUGUUGUUUCUUCUUACGUUCUUUGUUUUUGAUUUUGUAUGCAAAAUCAAUUUGUGUGA
Non-coding RNA from Camelina sativa (false flax), 628 nucleotides. The record is from RefSeq and is a predicted model, not a curated record. Lineage: Eukaryota; Viridiplantae; Streptophyta; Magnoliopsida; Brassicales; Brassicaceae.